RNAcentral lists this ribosomal RNA (591 nucleotides) under uncultured beta proteobacterium. Its description in RNAcentral is "bacterial SSU rRNA". It matches the Rfam family "Bacterial small subunit ribosomal RNA", at positions 340 to 922 of the family's 1533-position model. The record is from RNAcentral. Lineage: Bacteria; Pseudomonadati; Pseudomonadota; Betaproteobacteria.
UACGGGAGGCAGCAGUGGGGAAUUUUGGACAAUGGGCGCAAGCCUGAUCCAGCAAUGCCGCGUGCAGGAAGAAGGCCUUCGGGUUGUAAACUGCUUUUGUACGGAACGAAACGGUCUGGGUUAAUACCCUGGGCUAAUGACGGUACCGUAAGAAUAAGCACCGGCUAACUACGUGCCAGCAGCCGCGGUAAUACGUAGGGUGCGAGCGUUAAUCGGAAUUACUGGGCGUAAAGUGUGCGCAGGCGGUUUUGUAAGACAGGCGUGAAAUCCCCGGGCUUAACCUGCGAAUUGCGCUUGUGACUGCAAGGCUGGAGUGCGGCAGAGGGGGAUGGAAUUCCGCGUGUAGCAGUGAAAUGCGUAGAUAUGCGGAGGAACACCGAUGGCGAAGGCAAUCCCCUGGGCCAACACUGACGCUCAUGCACGAAAGCGUGGGGAGCAAACAGGAUUAGAUACCCUGGUAGUCCACGCCCUAAACGAUGAUGACUAGUUGUUGGGGGAGUUAAAUCCCUUAGUAACGCAGCUAACGCGUGAAGUCAUCCGCCUGGGGAGUACGGUCGCAAGAUUAAAACUCAAAGGAAUUGACGGAAGGGC